This 253-nucleotide ribosomal RNA is filed under the name uncultured bacterium. Its description in RNAcentral is "partial 16S ribosomal RNA". It matches the Rfam family "Bacterial small subunit ribosomal RNA", at positions 524 to 776 of the family's 1533-position model. The record is from RNAcentral.
UACGUAGGGUGCGAGCGUUAAUCGGAAUUACUGGGCGUAAAGUGUGCGCAGGCGGUUUCGCAAGUCCAGUGUGAAAGCCCCGGGCUUAACCUGGGAACUGCGCUUGAAACUACGGAACUCGAGUGUGGCAGAGGAAGGUGGAAUUCCACGUGUAGCGGUGAAAUGCGUAGAGAUGUGGAGGAACACCGAUGGCGAAGGCAGCCUUCUGGGCCAACACUGACGCUCAUGCACGAAAGCGUGGGGAGCAAACAGG